This 253-nucleotide ribosomal RNA is filed under the name uncultured bacterium. Its description in RNAcentral is "partial 16S ribosomal RNA". It matches the Rfam family "Bacterial small subunit ribosomal RNA", at positions 524 to 776 of the family's 1533-position model. The record is from RNAcentral.
UACGAGGGGGGCAAGCGUUGUUCGGAAUUAUUGGGCGUAAAGGGCGCGUAGGCGGUGCGGUAAGUCUGAUGUGAAAUCUCCGGGCUCAACUCGGAGUCUGCAUCAGAAACUGCCGUGCUCGAGUGUGGGAGAGGUGAGUGGAAUUUCCGGUGUAGCGGUGAAAUGCGUAGAUAUCGGGAGGAACACCUGUGGCGAAAGCGGCUCACUGGACCACAACUGACGCUGAGGCGCGAAAGCUAGGGGAGCAAACAGG